GGGUGASUWACACGUGAGCAACCUGCCCCUGACUCYGGGAUAAGCSCUGGAAACGGCGUCUAAUACUGGAUACGAGUAGCGAUCGCAUGGUCAGUUACUGGAAAGAUUUUUUGGUUGGGGAUGGGCUCGCGGCCUAUCAGCUUGUUGGUGAGGKAAUGGCUCACCAAGGCGUCGACGGKUAGCCGGCCUGAGAGGGUGACCGGCCACACUGGGACUGARACWCGGCCCAUACUCCUMCKGGAGGCAGCWGUGGGGAAUAUUGYMCMAUGGGYGGAAGCCUGAUGCWGCWRCGCCSCKUGARGGAUGACGGCCUUCGGGUUGUAAACCUCUUUUAGCWGGGAAGAAGCGAGAGUGACGGUACCUGCAGAAAAAGCGCCGGCUAACUACGUGCCAGCAGCCGCGGUAAUACGUAGGGCGCAAGCGUUAUCCGGAAUUAUUGGGCGUAAAGAGCUCGUAGGCGGUUUGUCGCGUCUGCUGUGAAAUCCCGAGGCUCAACCUCGGGCCUGCAGUGGGUACGGGCAGACUAKAGUGCGGUAGGGGAGAUUGGAAUUCCUGGUGUASCGGUGGAAUGCGCAGAUAUCARGASGAACACCGAUGGCGAAGGCAKAUCUCUGGGCCKUAACUGACGCUGAGGAGCGAAAGGGUGGGGAGCAAACAGGCUUAGAUACCCUGGUAGUCCACCMCGUAWACGUUGGGAACUAGUUGUGGGGUCCAUUCCACGGAUUCCGUGACGYAGCUAACGCAUUAAGUUCYCCGCCUGGGGAGUACGGCCGCAAGGCUAAAACUCAAAGGAAUUGACGGRGACYCGCACAAGCGGCGGAGCAUGCRGAUUAAUUCGAUGCAACGCGAAGAACCUUACCAAGGCUWGACAUAUACGAGAACGGGCCAKAAAUGGUCAACUCUUUGGACACUCGUAAACAGGUGGUGCAUGGUUGUCGUCAGCUCGUGUCGUGAGAUGUUGGGUUAAGUCCCGCAACGAGCGCACCCUNUUYUAUGUUGCCAKCACGUAAUGGUGGGAACUCAUGGGAUACUGCCGGGGUCAACUCGSAGSAAGGUGGGGAUGACGUCAAAUCAUCAUGCCCCUUAUGUCUUGGGCUUCMSCAUGCUACAAUGGCCG
This 1117-nucleotide ribosomal RNA is filed under the name Microbacterium sp. Its description in RNAcentral is "partial 16S ribosomal RNA". The record is from RNAcentral. Lineage: Bacteria; Bacillati; Actinomycetota; Actinomycetes; Micrococcales; Microbacteriaceae.